CGUCACUUGCCCCUCUCCUCCAAUUAUUCCCAUCACACUCUCUCUCUCUCUCUCUCUGUGGUUCUCAUCUUCUUGUUCUUGUUCGUCUUCCUCCAUUAGAGGGUAGUGGUGCACCACAAGUUGGUGAAGCUGCCAGCAUGAUCUGAUGAUAUUCUGUUCCACCCCUCUCUCCUGUCGUAUGAUUUUGAACACGUACAGGAUGAGGUGAAAGAGGAAUCAAUCGCUGAAUUAAUCAGGUCAUGCUGUAGUUUCAUCUGCUGGUGGGAGCACAUCGAAAACCCUAGCUGGAUUACAUCUAUGGGUCUCAUCAGGUUCUUGCAGGAUUCAUGCUGCACCUGCACCUCGAUCAGAUAUGUGGUUUCUCUUCCAGCAGAAGAUCAGAAAGGAAAUGAACAGAACUAACUGUCCAAGCUGUGUUGUUUACCCUUAAUUAUGUCAUAUUUAUAGUUCUAGAUACCAUGUAGAUGGUUCCUAUAUUUGUGACAUGGCUGGUUAGUUCCAACUUCCAAUGCUUGGUUGAAGAUAUGCUUCAACUUCAAUUUGGGUUCAGUAUACUUCUACAUGAAUGCAGGAACCAGCCUGUGAGAAUAUGUGAAAAAACUGUUUUCAUCAGUGUGUCUAUGCAUGGUUUACUGCGAUCCUGGUAUCCUGCUAAAAACAAUGGUGAUGGAAAGAUGUAUCACAGUAUGACAAGUUUGUAUGAUAAAAUCCUUGUUGAUUAAGGCAUAGUAAGUUGGGGGGAAAGGACUAUGCAAUGCAAUUGAUUUGAGGUCUGAAGGCAGACAAUUUCAGUCA
Molecule: long non-coding RNA, 795 nt
Organism: Phragmites australis (common reed)
Lineage: Eukaryota; Viridiplantae; Streptophyta; Magnoliopsida; Poales; Poaceae
Exons: 2
Source: RefSeq, a predicted model, not a curated record